GAGGUUGUGGCUCAGUGAUAAGAACACUUGCCUAGCAUGUGUGAGGUACUGAGUUCGAUUCUCAGCACCACA
This 72-nucleotide transfer RNA is filed under the name Marmota monax (woodchuck). RNAcentral describes it as "tRNA.Ala". The record is from RNAcentral. Lineage: Eukaryota; Metazoa; Chordata; Mammalia; Rodentia; Sciuridae.